GCGCCGUUAGCUGAGUGGUUUAGCCGCCGACUCUUAAUCGGCAGACGAAGGUUCGAUUCCUUCACGGCGUA
RNAcentral lists this transfer RNA (71 nucleotides) under Phytohabitans maris. RNAcentral's name for it is "tRNA-Lys". It matches the Rfam family "tRNA". Rfam says of the family: Transfer RNA (tRNA) molecules are approximately 80 nucleotides in length. Their secondary structure includes four short double-helical elements and three loops (D, anti-codon, and T loops). Further hydrogen bonds mediate the characteristic L-shaped molecular structure. tRNAs have two regions of fundamental functional importance: the anti-codon, which is responsible for specific mRNA codon recognition, and the 3' end, to which the tRNAs corresponding amino acid is attached (by aminoacyl-tRNA synthetases). tRNAs cope with the degeneracy of the genetic code in two manners: having more than one tRNA (with a specific anti-codon) for a particular amino acid; and 'wobble' base-pairing, i.e. permitting non-standard base-pairing at the 3rd anti-codon position. Lineage: Bacteria; Bacillati; Actinomycetota; Actinomycetes; Micromonosporales; Micromonosporaceae. The record is from RNAcentral.